GUAAGUACUUACCUAGACUUCCCAAUGAAAACUUGAAGUUGCUAUAUCUGACUGCAGAUGCUGCCAUUGGAGAUAUUAAGUGUUCAAUUUAGUACUGUGAACUGGAUGUAUUUUGAGAUGAAUGGCUAUGUGCUUGAAGAGUUAUAGAAAAAAAAAUUUUCUUUCCUAAAAUAUAGAUUUAGGUGACUAUUAAUAACUCUUAAAUGAUACUAUCCAACAGAUUUUGAGAAGCAUACUAUCGAUUAUUGCGACUUUGUCUACUGCAGGAAUGAAUCGUCCCACUGUCAAUCAUCCUGGGGUGUGAAAUGAGUGUACCUCAGACUUGGGUAGGGGACGAUCUCUGCCUGUGGUUGAGGCUGAAGCUUGUAUGGGGAUCAGGAUGGGAGAGACCUAGAGAUUUGGGGUUGUGAGGGGUAAGCUGGCCUUGCCUCGUGGGAGACAAUCAAGAGUAAGAUAGGGAAUUUAGGUGUUGGCUCCAGUUGAGAGUAGACACUUUUGUAGCAGCAAAAGUCACUCUCCAAACUCUAAUUUUGCUAUUCCUCAAUCAUUCCUAGAAUUUUAUUGAACACCACAUUGCGGUCUCAGCUCCUCUUUGGGUUGGAAAGGGAAGGAACUGAAUCCAUGCUUGGAGUGAAAAGAGGAGGCGCGGGGAAACCAACACAGAGGAGCCACUAAUGCGGGAUCAAAGUGACUUGAGAGAUGCGGAGUGGGAGGUGUCUCUCCUCACCUUGACAUCGCUAGCAUGGCUGAUGAUUGAUGUAGGUUCACGCCCAGGACCUGAACUCCCGAACCCAUGCCACUGAAGCGGAGCACACAAACUUAACCACUACACCACUGGGCCUGCCUUGAAAAUCUCCCCCUUUUUAAAGAUCUGAAUGGCCAGCAUCUCUACUCUAGCACUUUGGGGCCGUUAUUGCAUGAAAGAAGGGUGACUGGAACACGAGCACUGCGUGACCUGGACAGCCAUCUGAUAACUGAGAUGGCUACGAAGUGCCUAACGGGCGGGCAGCAGAUAUGGCAUGGAUCCACUGGACAAGGGGUCAUUCACAUCGCGGGCAGGACAGAAGAGGACUGGCUCGAGAUUUCAUCAUGCUACUCAGAAAGGCACACAGUUUAAAACUUAUGAAUAGUUUAUUUCUGGAAAUUUCCAUUUAAUACUUUAGGACCUCAGUUGAUCGAGGGUAACUGAAACCACAGAAGUGAAGCUGCAUAUAAAGGGGGAACUACUCUCCCUCUUAGAUUCUGUGAGAAACUUGGGGAUCAUCCAGUCCAGGAAAAUGGGGAGUGGCCUUGCUCAUUAUCAGGGGUGGCCUUCAAAGGAGGUGGUUCUGCCAACAACUCCAUUCCUUCCGUGCCAUGCUUAGCCAUAGAAACCUCUGCUGAGGCUCCUGAGACCCAGUGCCCGGGGCAGCUUUGUCGGUCACUGAUUCACCUGUCCCCAUCCAGGAGCCCGGCACCCCAGGGGCAAUGCCCCGAGAGGCUCUGGUCUCCCUGCUUCCCUAAGUUACACGCUUCCAUUCUCCUUGCCUGUCUCAGGUGACAAGCAUGCUCGGGGCGUUUGGCCAUUCCCAUCUCCACCCUCCCUCUCUUGGAUGGGCAGUUAAUUUCCUCACUGCACCUAGACCAGGGGUGGAAAAUGAGCCCUGUGGGUCGUAGGCAGCUUCACAGCCUCUUGUUGCUGUUUUCCCUUGGUGUGCAUGGUGGCAUCCUGCACAGAGUUUAAAUCUCUCUGUGUAUCCUCAUCACUGAGACCAAGGUCAGCUGCAGUUUGUCAUCUUGUGCCAGGUUCACUUUACUCAUUUACAUUAUCUGUCUGGUCUUCAUAGGUCUGAGAGUUUGUAAGCCCAGGUGUAGACUUUCCAGAUACCUGCUAACUUGUGUGUGAGUGUGUGUGUGUGUGUUUAAAGCUCAGAAAUACAAAGAUACCUCUGUCUUCUCUACAGCAUAUGCAGAGAGCUUAGAUCUUGUAGAUCUGGCUACCCACCUGGUGAGGAGUAGUCAAUGGGAAUAGAGGAAGCUGAAUUGCUUUCCACAGGAAUAUCUAGCAGCAAAAACAGCACACGAUACUUUCUCAGUGGGUCGCCAUGCUACAUGGAGUUAUCAAUAAGUCAUCUCCCCAGAAUGUGACAUCCCUGGUGGCAGGGAUAACGUCUAACCCGAUGCACGGCUUAUUGAGACACCGUAGGUAUUUUUGUUGGGUAAGUGAAUGGAGAGAAUGAAUGAUGGUGGCUUUUUAUUGCUAUGUGGUGGAGUAAUAAAGUGUGAGCUCCUUGAUUCUGGUUGUUGUCAAAAAUGAUCUGUCUUGUGAGGCAGAAUUAGGGUCACUUAUACCAAAUAGGUUCUAAAUUCCAUGAAAGAGAUCUCAGGGAUUUGUAUUACAGCCUUUUCCUGAGAAAACAAGGUGCAGCCUGAUUUACCUAAUCGAUUUACCUAAUCAAUAAACUAGGCAAGUUUUAUACAUUGAUGCCAACUCCCCCGGCAUGAUCUCACGGUAUUUUUUGGAUGGGGAGGUGUCUCAGAGGAGCUGAAAGCAGUGGCAUGCUGUCCCAGCACAGACCCUCCGUACAUCACCUUUGCCCCAAACUCCCCCU
RNAcentral lists this long non-coding RNA (2591 nucleotides) under Equus caballus (horse). RNAcentral's name for it is "lncRNA (ENSECAG00000047560.1)". The record is from RNAcentral. Lineage: Eukaryota; Metazoa; Chordata; Mammalia; Perissodactyla; Equidae.